CGAUGUCGUUGCUAGGCGAUGCGACGCUCUCAGACUCACACACUCGCUUCCUGGUGGCGUUUCAUCUCCGUUUUAAAUAAUCUUCUGCUUUAAAAUGAUUGUUUAUAUGUAAAUGCGUAUAUAAAGGAACAUGUCAUCAACGCUAGAAUCUCUCUUCUCAUUGGAACUGGUGAUCGAUUACGUCUGCGUCGAUGGAUCACGUGGCAAUAUUUUGGAUCUUGCAGUGGCAGUCCGCUUGUUAGAUUUCCCCACACUUCUCAUUUACCAAUCAGAACAAAAGGAUUUCUCAUCAAAAUCAGGCUAUGCUGACCUGUGCGUGUCGCCUGAGGCUUUAUCUCAACCCGACGACGGAGACAAUCUGAAGUAUUCCUUCCAUAAAGGCAAAUCCUGUCUUUUUAAGAUGAAUUUGCAGUCGUUACACACCCAUCUCCUAAACACUCCUCUCUACGCAAUGGUAUUGGAUGUAAAGGAUGAGAUUCCCAAACUUAUAGGAAGCUCCUUGAUAUCCCUGGCUAAAGUGAUGGAUAGAAUUAAACUGGAUGUGGAUAAACAUGGUAUUAGCACUCCGAGCGCUCAUGGAGAGAGACUGUUCAACCCAAUCUGCAAUCUGAUGGGAAACGACAUCGGUGCCAUUUCACUGGCUUAUAAGAUUGUAAGCCUAGGAGCGAAUUUAAUCCCUCACAUCCCAGAUAACAGAGUCCAUGAAGUCGGCCUGACCCAUGGAAAAGGAGAAGAACUCAAGUCAGUUCCAGUGUAUUCUGGAAAAAAUGAGAUGUCUGAGAACAAUCCUGGUAAUGUUCUCACACAAGAUGGAUGGUCAGCUGAUGUAGUGAUAUCAGAAGACAAGCAUCCAGCGUUCACUCAGACUGAACAGAGCGUCUCGUGGUCUGAAGAAGCACAAGAACACACCGCUUUCUGUCCUCCACCUCUGUUUUACAGCUCCGGCCUGAAGAGCCAACAGGAGAGGACAAGCUUUAAAGGGUUACAUGCAGCAAUGGAGAGUCUUAAUCUAGAGGAUCCAGAAGACGGAAAUAAUGAAGAAUCAUCUGUCAUGCAUGAGGUUUCAGAGAUAACAUCUGCAAAGGUGGAGCGAUUGAGUAAAUCAGCUUUAACUCCAGGAUCACAGCAUAAAGAAACUGAUUCAGCUCCUCUUGGGAACGUCAUCAGGCAGUUACCGCUGCUGAAUGCUUUAUUAGUCGAACUAUCACAGCUUCACGGAGAGAUGCCACACCAGCAGCCGCUAUCCAUCCAUCCUAACCUGGCGUGGCUGUACACAUCAGCACAUCCGUCAGAGCCUGAGCAUCAGAAAACUAUCAAAGCUAGUCCUAAACAGAGACCACUGAUCAAAUCAGUGAAGAGUGCAAGGGGUGCAAAGAAAAAUGAAGAAAAGUUGCAACCUAAAAGGACGCUUAAAUAUGGCUUGACAAACACUUUCCGUCUCAGACUCAAGCUGGUCAAACCGGGUCUUACCAAACGGCACGAAUGCACCGAAUACCAGAACGUAAUGACGAAAAAACGUGUCCGUAAGUCAGUUCACAGAGAUGAAACUACAUUAGUCAGCAGUUUUGAAAUGGAUCCAACACCACUUAAAACAGCAUCAAAAUCACAAACAAGACCAAGUUCAAAUGAAAGUAAUGUUGCGUCGUUCUCAGCUGAGAAAGACAAAAGAGUUCAUAUUCCAAGUGCGCUCAGUCAGCAUUCAGAUCCGAACAAUUCCGGCGUCCAGAGUUUUAAAGAAAGCAUCGGGGAAGAUAGUCGAGCGAGCAGCCGUUGCAUGAAGAGUAACGAAGAGUAUCAGGACGACUUCACGAGCCUCAACACAACCGACGGAUACUCACCUGAGCCGCUUAGCAGUCCAGAACCAAACAGGCGUAAAACAAGUGUUUCUGGUCACAAUAAAGGUCUUCCGGUUCCUGUCCCAGCGGAGAAGUCUCCUCAACGCUCUGUCAAAGGCACACAUGUCAUCCGCCCGCGUGUGCAGACCUCGGCUCUGAGUCUGUCUUCAGACGACAGCGAGGAUGAGGACGUGUCCUCUAGCGGAUCACAGACCACUUCAUCUGUCCGGAAAUCCCAGAGCUUUGAUAGCGACUCCGGGGACUCAAAGUACUCAGAUUUAUCUGUGCUGAAGUCCAGUUCAGACGCGGAGGAGGAACGGGACAGACUGGGCUCUAUGGGACUGGACCAGAAUUGCCAUCACAUUUCAGAACUGGUCUUCAACAAACUUCCAGGAUACACACUGUGAUUAGACCGUGAUGAUCUGAUGCACCGCCGGAGAAAAAGAGUGACGACUUCUUUAUAUUAGUUCAAUUCAAUAUGAUUUUACAUGCAGACAUUCAUUCAUUGGCACAGUUAUAACCUUGAAUAUAUUAGUAAAUGAUAAUAGUCAUUUAAUAUGGAUAAAAUGGGAAUGUGGAUUAUGAGUGAAUAUUUGUUUUAAAUUAGAUGCGCCAUAAUGCUUUUUAUACAAAAACGAUGCCCUGUAUAAAUGCUUUAAUAUUUAAGUAUAACAGCAAUGUUGUAGCCUAUUUGAUAAAUUAUU
Non-coding RNA from Pimephales promelas (fathead minnow), 2539 nucleotides. Lineage: Eukaryota; Metazoa; Chordata; Actinopteri; Cypriniformes; Leuciscidae. The record is from RefSeq and is a predicted model, not a curated record.